AGUGGCGAACGGGUGCGUAACACGUGAGAAACCUGCCCCGAACUUGGGAAUAACAGUCGGAAACGACUGCUAAUACCGAAUACCUUCGCAGCGUCGCAUGGCGCAGCGAAGAAAGCUCCGGCGGUUUGGGAGGGUCUCGCGGCCUAUCAGCUUGUUGGUGAGGUAACGGCUCACCAAGGCAUCGACGGGUAGCUGGUCUGAGAGGAUGAUCAGCCACACUGGAACUGAGACACGGUCCAGACUCCUACGGGAGGCAGCAGUGGGGAAUAUUGCACAAUGGGCGCAAGCCUGAUGCAGCGAUGCCGCGUGCGGGAAGAAGGCCCUAGGGUUGUAAACCGCUUUCAGCAGGGAAGAAAAUGACGGUACCUGCAGAAGAAGGUGCGGCCAACUACGUGCCAGCAGCCGCGGUGACACGUAGGCACCAAGCGU
RNAcentral lists this ribosomal RNA (429 nucleotides) under uncultured bacterium. RNAcentral's name for it is "bacterial SSU rRNA". It matches the Rfam family "Bacterial small subunit ribosomal RNA", at positions 94 to 541 of the family's 1533-position model. The record is from RNAcentral.